Molecule: ribosomal RNA, 861 nt
Filed under: uncultured bacterium
Lineage: Bacteria
Description: bacterial SSU rRNA
Rfam family: Bacterial small subunit ribosomal RNA
Source: RNAcentral
AGUUUGAUCCUGGCUCAGAACGAACGUUGGCGGCGUGGAUUAGGCAUGCAAGUCGAGGGAAUCCCAGCAAUGGGGGAACCGGCGUAAGGGGCAGUAAGGCGUGGGUACCUACCCUGAGGUUCGGGAUAGCCGUCAGAGAUGGCGGGUAAUACCGGAUGAUCUCGGGAGAGCAAAGAUUGAUCGCCUCGGGAGGGGCCCACGUGAUAUUAGCUAGUUGGUGAGGUAACGGCUCACCAAGGCGAAGAUGUCUAGCGGGUGUGAGAGCACGACCCGCGCCACUGGCACUGAGACACUGGCCAGACACCUACGGGUGGCUGCAGUCGAGGAUCUUCGGCAAUGAGCGAAAGCUUGACCGAGCGACGCCGCGUGGGCGAUGAAGGCCUUCGGGUUGUAAAGCCCUGUCGAGGGGGAGAAAAGCCGCAAGGUGUGAUCUAUCCCUGGAGGAAGCUCGGGCUAAGUUCGUGCCAGCAGCCGCGGUAAGACGAACCGAGCGAACGUUGUUCGGAAUCACUGGGCUUAAAGGGCGCGUAGGCGGGCUGCCGCGUCCGGGGUGAAAUGCCACGGCUCAACCGUGGAAGGGCCUCGGAUACGGGCGGUCUCGAGGGGGGUAGGGGCAUCGGGAACUGUGAGUGGAGCGGUGAAAUGCGUUGAUAUUCACAGGAACUCCGGUGGCGAANGCGCGGUGCUGGACCCCAUCUGACGCUGAGGCGCGAAAGCCAGGGGAGCAAACGGGAUUAGAUACCCCGGUAGUCCUGGCCCUAAACGAUGGGUACUAGGUAGUAGGCCAGACAUGGGUUUACUGCCGGAGCUAAAGUGCUAAGUACCCCGCCUGGGGAGUAUGGUCGCAAGGCUGAAACUCAA